RNAcentral lists this ribosomal RNA (250 nucleotides) under uncultured prokaryote. RNAcentral describes it as "partial 16S ribosomal RNA". It matches the Rfam family "Bacterial small subunit ribosomal RNA", at positions 524 to 771 of the family's 1533-position model. The record is from RNAcentral.
UACGUAGGAUCCGAGCAUUAUCCGGAGUGACUGGGUGUAAAGAGUUGCGUAGGUGGCAUAGUAAGUAGGCAGUGAAAUCUGGUGGCUCAACCAUUCAGACUAUUGCCUAAACUGCUAAGCUCGAGACUGUUAGGGGUAGCUGGAAUUUCUAGUGUAGGUGUGAAAUCCGUAGAUAUUAGAAAGAACACCGAUAGCGUAGGCAGGCUACUGGGGCAGUUCUGACACUAAGGUACGAAAGCGUAGGUAGCAA